This 465-nucleotide ribosomal RNA is filed under the name uncultured bacterium. RNAcentral describes it as "partial 16S ribosomal RNA". It matches the Rfam family "Bacterial small subunit ribosomal RNA", at positions 28 to 507 of the family's 1533-position model. The record is from RNAcentral.
GACGAACGCUGGCGGCGUGCCUAACACAUGCAAGUCGAACGGAAAGGCCCCUUUGGGUGUCCUCCAGUUGCGAACGGGGGAGUAACACGUCAGUAACCUGCCCUUGACUUCGAGAUAUCUUCAGGAAACUGUGGCUAAUACUGGGUACGAAUCCUUUCUGCAUGGUGGGUGUUGGAGAGUUGCGGCGGGUUUGUAUGGACUUGCGGCUUUUCAGCUUGGUGGUGGCGUAGUGGCUUACCGAGGCUUUGACGCGUAGCCGGACUGGGAGGGCGACCGGCCACAUUGGCACUGAGAUACGGCCCAGGCUCCGACGGGAGGGAGAAGUGGGGAAGAUUGAUCAAUGAGCGGAGGCCUGAUGCAGAAACGCCGCGGGCGGGAUGACGGUGUUGGGGUUGUAGACCGAAUUCAGCAGGAGCGAAGCUUGUGGUGACGGUACCUGCAGAAUAAGCACCGGCUAACUACGUG